CUUGGGGGAAUGUAUUCUUAAUUUAUAAAAAUUGAAUUAAGAAUUCAAAACUUUUGAAUAUAGUUCUAGAUAAAAUAUUGAUAAUGACAAAUUUUUAUCUAUAUGUCUUGACCAAAUCUUGUGCCAGCAGUCGCGGCAACACAAGGAAGACUAGUGUUAUUCAUCUUAAAUCGGUUUAAAGGGUACCUAGACAGUAAAUUAUGCCUUAAUUGGAACGUUUUUACUAGAGUUAUAUAUGCGUGAGGAAUGUGUGAGUAUUACCAGAGUAGAGAUGCAAUUUUUUAAUACUGUUAAGACUGGUAAAGGCGAAAGCAAACCUUUAUAUAUUAACUGACGUUGAGGGACGAAGGCUUGGGUAGCAAACAGGAUUAGAUACCCUAAUAGUCCAGGCAGAGAAUUAUGAAUGUCAUAAAAUGCAU
Molecule: ribosomal RNA, 419 nt
Filed under: Pseudopyrenula subnudata
Lineage: Eukaryota; Fungi; Ascomycota; Dothideomycetes; Trypetheliales; Trypetheliaceae
Description: mitochondrial SSU rRNA
Rfam family: Bacterial small subunit ribosomal RNA
Source: RNAcentral